GCACAGCAGAGCCCUGAUCCUACCUGGUGCUACAAGCAGUCCGAUACCCACACGUGGAUCCAACUGGUCAAUGAAUCCAAACACCUUCACCAGAGCCCAGGAGUCACAUCAGGAGAGCUCUGCACAGCCAGCUGCUCUGUCUGCAUAGCCCUGAGCUGGGGGACUCAAGGGCCAAAGAUGGCAAGAAGGAGAAAUGCUGAACCUGAGCUGGAGCAGAGGAGAGAAACAGCCAUGAUGCAGCUUUUGUAUCCACUGAGAUUUCCUACUGUUUUUUAACAAAGUUAAAUCUAGUUUGUUUCUAUGAAAAAAAAAAUAAAAGCAUUGUAAAAGUUGAAAUUCAAACAUUUUGACUUUUACAGCUUUUUCAGGUUAAUUUCCUGUCUUUUUCCUCACCUCAUUUUCCCUCUUGCUGUGGAGAUUAGGAUAGGGUUUAAUGGGGAUAUCUUGAAAUACCUGAGUGUUUGAAAAUGGAAAGGAAACCAGUUUAUUUUUGUUUGCUUGCUUCUUUGGGAACUUCUUUAGGAAAAAAAUAACAAGCAGCCAACUCAAAACAACUUUCAAAUAUUGCACACCAAAUACUCUGUUUCUUCUUUCCCCCUGGCUAAAACACCUACCUGUGUGCAAGAAGCAAUGUCAUUGUCUCAUUGUGGGCAGCCUGAGCCUCACUGAUGGGCAGGCUGGAAAAGCUCCUAAAGGAAGGCUCUGGCUACCUUGUGCUGCUGGGAUACCCAGGCUCACAGCAAAUCAAACCAGGACAGGGGAAACCGUGGUGGACAGGUUGAGAAAAGAGCAGUGGUGGACACAGAGAGUGAGGGUG
Long non-coding RNA from Passer domesticus (house sparrow), 817 nucleotides. RefSeq lists it as uncharacterized. The record is from RefSeq and is a predicted model, not a curated record. The transcript is spliced from 3 exons. Lineage: Eukaryota; Metazoa; Chordata; Aves; Passeriformes; Passeridae.